RNAcentral lists this ribosomal RNA (585 nucleotides) under uncultured bacterium. Its description in RNAcentral is "bacterial SSU rRNA". It matches the Rfam family "Bacterial small subunit ribosomal RNA", at positions 30 to 642 of the family's 1533-position model. The record is from RNAcentral.
GCUACGCUGGCGGCAUGCUUACACAUGCUUUAUUGAACGGGUUUAAGUUUAUCAAACUUAUACAAGUAGCGGACGGGUGAGUAACGCGUAAGAACCUACCUUUCAGGUAAGGAAUAACUAUUGGAAACGAUAGAUAAUACCUUAUAAGCUUAUAGUAACAAGAUAAAAUCGCCUAAGGAUGGGCUUGCGUCUGAUUAGCUUGUUGGUGAUUUAAAAGAUUCACCAAGGCAACGAUCAGUAGUUGGUCUAAGAGGAUGAUCAACCACACUGGGACUGAGACACGGCCCAGACCUCUACGGAGGGCAGCAGUGAGGAAUUUUCCGCAAUGGGCGAAAGCCUGACGGAGCAAUGCCGCAGUGGAGGAUGAAAGCUUGUGAGUCGUAAACUCCUUUUCUUAGUGAAGAAAUAAGACGGUAUCUAAGGAAUAAGACAUCGGCUAACUCCGUGCCAGCAGCCGCGGUAAUACGGAGGAUGCAAGCGUUCAUUCGGAAUUAUUGGGCGUACAAGCGUCUGUAGGUGGUUUUUUCAAGACUCACUGUUACAAUAUUAAGGGCUUAACCUUACAACAAAGCGGUAUCGAAAACU